Molecule: ribosomal RNA, 253 nt
Filed under: uncultured bacterium
Lineage: Bacteria
Description: partial 16S ribosomal RNA
Rfam family: Bacterial small subunit ribosomal RNA
Source: RNAcentral
UACAGAGGUCUCAAGCGUUGUUCGGAUUCAUUGGGCGUAAAGGGUGCGUAGGCGGCGCGGUAAGUCGGGUGUGAAAUCUUGGAGCUUAACUCCGAAACUGCAUUCGAUACUGCCGUGCUUGAGGACUGGAGAGGAGACUGGAAUUUACGGUGUAGCGGUGAAAUGCGUAGAUAUCAAGAGGAACACCUGCGGCGAAGGCGGGUUGCUGGGCCGACACUGACGCUGAAGCGCGAAAGCUAGGGGAGCGAACGGG